This 298-nucleotide long non-coding RNA is filed under the name Elaeis guineensis (African oil palm). Its description in RNAcentral is "long non-coding RNA (EGUI_LNC049484)". Lineage: Eukaryota; Viridiplantae; Streptophyta; Magnoliopsida; Arecales; Arecaceae. The record is from RNAcentral.
CUUCUCUCUUUUUUUAUAUGGAUUUCGAAAUACUUAAUCUCUUCCUUAAUGUAAUGUUGAAAACUUCUAGUUAUUUUAGUUGCUCUCCUUCAAUUCUAGUUUCUUUUUCUCAACAUCGUUUUCUUUACAUGAAUUCUCAACUAUGUUUUCUUUCUAAGUGCUCAAUUUUUUUCUCUCCUUUUUUAUCAUCAAUAAAAAGACUCAAACAAAGAUACCACAAAAGCAGCAAUGAUAAUAAUAUGAAUGAUACCACAUAAUUAUUGCAUUACAAAUACAAUAGAGAUAGUCAUAAGUAAGC